Molecule: long non-coding RNA, 16757 nt
Filed under: Marmota monax (woodchuck)
Lineage: Eukaryota; Metazoa; Chordata; Mammalia; Rodentia; Sciuridae
Source: RNAcentral
GGCAGGUACAUGGUUUUAUCCGGGGCUGAGACUUCUCUUGGGGUUUCCUUCCCACUUGUCUGGAAUUUGGGCUCACCCAGUACAAAGUGGGUCCCUUGUGGCCUAGAGGAUUAGAGAGCGAGGCAACCGGCUCCCCUUGAGCUGCUCCUGUGUGGGGCUGAAUAUCUCAAUCCCCCAAAUCAGACACACAUUCUGGCCCCUGCUGAUGUGGACAGUGGGAAGGAAUGUCACGGUUGGAGUGUGUCUAGGGCUCAGGGGUAAAGGAUUGAGCUGCAGGGUUAGUGUCUGUGAUAAGCAGUUUGGGAACCUACAGGCAAAUGCAUGCCGUUGGGUGUACUUCCACCCCCACCUUCAUUCUAGAUCCCAAACUUGACCAUGCAUCCCUUGAGGGCUGGCCCCAUGCUCCAUCCUAGACGGUUGGUCCCCAGCACCCAGCAGAGUGAUUGACAGGACCUGUACUUAUGCUGUCCAGCAUGGUGAGUGCCUAAAUCAAGAUGUACUAAGUGUAAAGUACACACUGACUUUGAAGACUUAGGGGUAAAGAAGAGAAAAUAUUACUAACUUUAUACUGAUUACAAGUUAGAAUAAUAUUUUGACACAUCAAGCUAAAUAAAACAUACAUUAAGAUUGAUGUUAUCAGUUUAUUUGAACUUUUAAAUGUGUGACUAUUCAGACAUUGUCCAUGACAUCUGUGCCUUGCGUUCUAUUUCUCUUGGACAUCUGUGGUCCAUUCUGCUCCCCUCUCCCUUCCUUUCUUGUUCCCCUUAACCUCUAACUAGACCACCAGUGCUCUUCUUCUAGGGUGUCUUCGGCUCUCCUCUGCAUUGGGUAUUUGUUGAGUCACUGGUCACACCUUCCAGAUGUGUUGCUCAUGUCAUUUAAACCAUAUCUGUAAUUGCACCCUUCCUCCUAGGACAAAGCUGUUCAGGCAGGAGCUGGGCUAUCCGUUUUAUGAACGUUAUGAUCUUCUUUGAACUGGUUUUCAUAACAGCCUGUGUAAUAGGCAUUGUUUUUCUUUCUUUUUCAAACAAAGAGACUGAGGCUCAGAGAGCUCUAAUAACUUGCCCCAAGUCAUCCACCUUGUCAGAGCUGCAGGGUCAGGACUUGAAACCCGGUGUGUGUGACUCACAGGGCAAGUUUUUCCCUCACCUAUAGCAUGAUAUUUCAGCUUUGCAUCAUUUGAAUCUACAGGGGUCUCCUGCAUUUGUCUGUGGCUUAUGGGGGAUCUCUAGAUCAUGCAGAGAACCAGCCUGUCUGAGACUUAGAAUACUUGGGUACAUUCUAGACCUAGCGUGGUCCCUGACUUAUUAAGUGGCCUAGGACAAGUAGUUUCUCAACUCUGUAAGACAAAGAGGACCUUUAGAGUUUGUGAUCUGAGGCUGCUGAGUGGGGAAUCCAACAACGACCAUGAUCUUGUAACUUAGUUUCUGAUUUUCUACAUUUGGAUUUAGAGGAAUUUUUAAAAAUAAGAAAUCAGAAAAGCGACCUCAGAACCUGAUUUCCUCAUGUUCUAGUAUCUGUUGAACGUGUUGAAUAGUAACCUCUUGGCAAAGUAGUCUGUGUUGCAUGGAUGGGCAGAAAACCUCAAGUUUAUUUUCAAGGAUUCUGGGCUUUUGAGAGAUGCCCACUCAGGAUGGUUUCUAGAGCAGUUUCAUCUGGGGCGUGUCCUUGGGAAUUGCGAUCUGGUAACACAGCUCCAACAACUGGAAACCCCAUUAUCUGUUUGGCAGAUCAGAGAAGAGGGCCAACUCCUUUCAUUAGCCUGCUUAUUAGUCCUUCCUGAACACUGUUUUCUAAAAGUGGCAUCAAAGCUGGGAUGCCCUUAGAAAUCCCCUCUUUAAGAUUCCGGGAGCCUUUUCAAAGCUGGAUGUACAAAGCAAAUCAGUCACGCCUGGGGCUCUUCUCUGCUGCUGCUUUGGUUAGUCUAUAGGCAAUUAAGGCCCCUAGACCUGCCCCCCCAACUCAGGCCAUACCCAUGGUUCUUUAUUUAGUGCCUGCUGAUUGCUGCUAAGAAGGCCCAGGAAGAUUAAUUUUCCAAACUAGUUGCUAUUUUUUGUUCCCAAUCCCUGGAGGGUAAAUAUAAGUGUUCUGAAGUAGUUAUUUCUCCUAAAUGGAUUUCAGACUGAAUAGUGAUUUUUAUUUGUUCAACUAGACUGGGCCAUAAAUUAAUUCACUACUAGUCUUUGAACCUUGAUGCUAAAAAAAAAAAAAUAGGUCAAGGAAUACAUCCUUUAUCUACCUCUCUUUGAAAUUUGGUUUUGCAGUUCAAAGGUGGGAUGGGGGGAAAGGACAGAAAACUGUCAGUAAGAAUUCAAAAACCUAUUUCUUGAUGCUUCUAUUAGCCACAGGGGCCUGCCCGUGGUUCAGUGCAUUCCACAGCUACCAGGCAAGAGCCCUUGCUCAACAUUGUGUGACUGGAAAUAAAAGGAAGGAAAAUAUUUUCUAUGAACAAAAGUCCUAUUGAGUUACUUCUAGGAAACAAACAAACUCUUUUAAAGAUCUUUCAACUUAUCAACAAUGGAUAUUAUAAAGGCAUUUGUGUUAUUUCAAAUUAAUUUAAUUCUGUGAAAAUUCAUAAGGCAGGGCCACUGGUGGGUGACCCAACCUUGCAGGCUGUAGUUUAGAUGGUUCUGUUUUGCUAAAGCUUGUAAUUUCUUGCCCCCCACCCGCUUCUGAAAGACCUAUAGGAGCUAUGUCUGACAAAACGAAGGCAAAAGUGACCUUAAUCCUAAUGAGUCUGUAUGGACUAGGAACAGUGUGGCACUUUCAAAAACUGCUGAGGACAUUUUAUGUGAAUUUUUUUUUUUUUUUUUUGGCACGAGGGCUACUGGGGAUUAAACCCAGGAGCACUUAACCACUGAGCCACAUCCCCAGCCCUUUUGAAAUAUUUUGUUUCACUGAGUUGCUUAGGGCUUCGCUAAAUUGCUGAGGCUGGCUUUGAAUUUACAGUCCUCCUGCCUCAGCCUCCCAAGACACUGGGAUUACAGGCGUAUGCCACGGAGCCCAACCAAUGUAAAUUUUUAACUGGAUCAAGAGCUUUUCAAGGUGGGGAGCAUAUAGUAGACACUCAAUAAAUGCUGAAUAAACAGGAUGUGCUGAGGACCCAGCUCUUUGCCUCCCUUCUUGCUGGGGCCUCUUGCCUGCGCCUAAGUCAGGGUUCUACCUCCCGGAAGGGCACAUGGCCCCCACAGCCUACUUGAUGGUCAGCAGGACCAGAAAUCUCCCUUUUAAAGGGCAAAGCAAUGUUCCUAUUUGGAUGCAAAGCUUGAGAUCCUAUGGAGCAAGUGUGGCAUGCUGCCCAGGGUGCAUUGGGUCUGCUAAGGAGGAUGGAAAGAGAGCUGUUGGUAGUGGGCACACACUUUCACUGUAGCUGAAGGUGCUGGGGGGGGCCUGGGCAGGUUUCUGGGGGGGGGUGUUAGAAUCUGGACGUUCUCCCUCCCUCUGAGUGAUCCAGCAAGGCCUUCGUAAGAGUAGUGCAAACAGAAAAAGACUAAUAAAAACUGGAGACUGUCCAGUGGGUGGUAGAGGGGUGAGCAAGACUAGGGUGUGUGGGACAGAAGAUCUGGGACUAGACCUCUGAGUCCUUGCUCAGGCAACAGAUUCUUUCUGAGCCACCAAAGACACCCUGACCUGCUCUCUUUCUUUCAUAACCUUGAUGACUAUUUUGGUUGUUGAUGUUUGUUUGUUUUUGGUACUGGGGAUUGAACCCAGGGGUGCUCUUACUUUACAAGGUAUAUAUCUUUAACAUCUAUUCUGCACACAGCUUUGAAUUUCAAAAGGAGCUAAACACCAGGUGACUCCAAGGAGGUUCAGGGGCUGGGUGCAUCAUAUUAGGGUGAUAUUUACAGGAAUGUGUUUUAAAAUGGAUAACCCUAGCUCAUCACAUACCAAAAGAGAUUCGUGGCGAAACAAAAAUAUAUAAACCAAACCCAGAUCCCUCACAAAGCCACUUGGCUGACCUCCAUUAAAAGUAGCAGGCACUACCAGAAAGAGGUCAGAGCAGCGAGAUGAAUUAUGAGCUUUGUUAGAUGCAAACAGAGAUGCUCAGGAAAUAGAAGGGAAAACCUAAGCAUUGGAAAAAAACAGCUUUAUGGUCAUGAGACAUUUUUUUCCAGGUAUGUCAGAGGCAGCUUCGAUGAUGCCCAGAUGACCUUUUGGAAGUUCCCAUCACUUCUCAUGCAUGCCUAUGAUCCCAGGGAUUUGGGGAGGUCAAGGCAGGAGGAUUUCUGUUUUGAGGCCAGCCUCAGCUACUAAUGGAGGCUCUAAACAACUUAAAGAGACCAUCUCAUAAUAAAAAAAAUAAAAAGGGCUGGGGAUGUAGCUUAGUGGUAGAGAUCCUCUGGGUUCAAUCCCCAGUACCUAAAACAAAUAAAAAAAAUUGAAACCAAAUUUUACUUUCUGAAGCUGCUGUUAUCUCAGUACAGGAGCUCAGAGCUCUCAACACCAGGGCCUGACAAUCCCCAGGGAGGCCAGUAUCUCAACAGUGUUCUUUCUCUCCUUUUUUUUAAAUAUCUUUAUUUUAUUUAUUUAUUUUUAUGUGGUGCUGAGGAUCGAACCCAGGGCCUCACAUGUGUGAGGCAAGCACUCUGCCUCUGAGCCACAACCCCAGCCCCCUCGCCCCCACAGCGUUCUCUCUUUACCUUGUUUUCUCUCCUCUUUUUUCCUUUUAACACAAUAUACAUCCACUGUAGAAAAAUGAGAAGACACAUAGAAGUGAUGGGGAAGAAUAAAAAAAAAUCAUCAGGAGUCUCCCCACUCAGAGAUAAUUAUUGCUCACAUUUUUGGUAAUUACUUUUUCAUGAUGUGGACCGGGAAAGAUGGCCAUUAUCUCUUGGCUAUGUGGGGAAGGAGAUAGAGCAUCCGCAGGCAGAGACGCAGCUAGCGUGUUUAUUUUAAUGAAGUAGAUUUGCAUUCUGUUGUUUUUACUCAACAGUAUGGUAUGAAGAUCUUUCCCUGUAGAUUAAUCUGUCUCCACAGAUACCUUAAUGGUUAAGUCAUACAUAUUUAAUCUUAUGAUGUCCCACAAUUUACUUAACAAUCCACUAUUACUGAGUUUUAAGAUUGUUUCUUAAUUGUUGCUUUAGUUAAUGACAGACCAGUCACCUGCCCUGCACCUGGAUCUUUGUACCUACAUCCUUGACUAUUUCAUCAGGAUUAAUUUCCCCAGGGAGUUACUGGCUCAGAGGAGCCUGGACAUUCCUUUUAAUACCCUCAAAUGACCCUUCAGAAAGAUUGCAACAAUCUGCCUUCUUGCUAGAUGGUGUCCGUCCCCAGAACACAGUCAUGAUGAGCAUCUUAAUUAUUUUUUAAAUGAUUUCAAAUCAUUUUAAUUUAAUUUCUUUGAUCGUUAGUGAGAUGAAACUGUUUUUAAUAUGUUAUAUAUCUGCCCAUGGGAAAAUGUCACCGAGCAGGUGCAAAAUCAGGCCAGAGCACCAGUGUGUGAUGACAGCUUCAUGGGGAAGACAGACAACAGGUGGCAGGUUACAGCUCUGUGGGACAGGCCAUGAUUGAAGGUGUUGUGUGAGAUCUUUGCCGAGACCUGGGAUGGAGCAGAAGGGUUUCUGGAGAGGGGACAUCUCAGCUUAGUCCUAGGAGAAGGGAGACUAGGAGAUACCCAGGUGAAGAGCCAAGGAACAGCGUCCUUGGGGGUGGGGGGGUCCAGGGAAAGAUAAGGUAAGGAUGGGGUACUGAGAACUGUAAGAAGCUCAAGUUGGUGAAUGCAUACGGUGUAAAAGAAUCUGCUUAAGAAAUUAGACAGGGAGCUGGGCAGGAUUCAAGUCCCCAGUGCCUGGGUAAAGCAUCUGGACUCUGUCCUGGGCGCCUGAGAGACACUGACCACUGUGAGGCAGAGUCAUGCACAAUCACAACAUGCAGGAGGCCAGGUGCAUGUGAAAGACAAUGGGAUGCUUCUCUCUGUGGAUGCUUCUUGCCCCAGAUGCUGUUUAAUGCCCCAUGAGAAGGUGCAGGGCCUAGGUCAGCCCUCCCGGCACUUUAGCAAGGAGGCAUACCCUUGUUCAAGAAGAAUCUUUUCAAAUUAUUAAACUAUGUACUUCUAAGUAAUAACAAAGCAAAUGCACGUUGAUUCCACACAAAUGAGAUUAUUGAGCCUCAAACCAGAAAAUUCAUGGUUUUAGUUGCAACAAGCAGGAACUCAAAAAUCUCUGAGAUUUAACAGUUUGCGGUAAGAUGUUUUCAGUCAUCAAAUAAUUCUUAUGAAAACAAAAUUUUCUGUGGCCAUUAGAACACUUGCUUGUUCUAGUAUCUUAUUUUCUCUAGAAAUGGGGGGCUGGCAUUCAUAAGAUUUCAUGGGCUGUUGUAGAUACAGAGCUUUUACAAAUUGCAAAUGUGAGAAGCUACAGUUUCAAGUGCUGGUUGGUGCUAUGAAGGGUAAUGUAUCCUGAGAGCGACAAGAGUUUGAGUAAAUGUGUCCAGUGUAUUAUUACUGCAUAUAAAUUGAGGGAUCUCAUGGGAGCCAACUGAUCUUCUGGAAAGCGACCUAAGGGUUUUUCCUCCUCUUUCACAGUGUUCUGCAAUGACACUCUUCCUGCCAUGUCCCACAUUUUAAUCUUAUUUCCAGUGGUUGCAGAAGUUCAGGUUUAUCAAAAUUUUUCAAGUUAUACAUACCAUCCAGAAUAUUGAAAAGGCCAUAAUAUUCUUUGGCUAUCACAUUUUUUAAAAAAGAAAUAUCAUUGCUUCCAGAGAAAACAAGGUGAUUCUGAUAUGGACCUUUGGAUUGUAGAAGGAUUGAUCAUGUAAAUCCCAGUUAAAAUGAGUCUUCUCUUUCUUUUUUCUAGUAUUUUCUGUUUUGGAGAAGCUGGCAUUAAUGUCAGGAGAUUACCACUUAUUUAGUAUGAACAGCAUGUAAUUCAGAAACAUUUUAUCAACUGGGUAAAACAUUUUUCCCUUAAUAGUUUUUUAAUUGUAUAUUUUCAAGAUAUUUUGAAAAUAUAUUUAUCAAGAUAUAUUUUCAAGAUCAAUGCUGCACAUUAACUUUCAAUUUUUGCUUAAUUUAACAUUUGUGUCUUUACAAAUUUUACUUAAAGUAUCAUGCCAAAUUAGUGGCAAGAAAACAUUUAUUUAGAAAACAUAUUAUUUUCACAUAUUUCAAAAGUGUAGCUUUGGCUUGUGUCCAAAAAUCUAUAAACUAAUUAGAAUCAGUGAUUUCUAAAAGAAUGUUCCAUUGGCUUCUCAUUGAUGUUUUGGGGUCACAAAGGUUUCAAAUUGAUUUUUCUUCAUGUAUUUGAUAGCAGUCUCAGUUUUAUCUUCUGUUCUUCUGUUUUCAAUGCUCAAUGUUUUGCUAAAGUCAAACUGUUCUUGGCAGAAUAGAAUUCAGUGACUUUGAAAGAACUUUCUUGAUAUAUUGUUCUCUGCAAGUUUAAAGAAUGAGCAGCCUUGGGCUCAUUUGGGAGCAUAUUUUGAAAUCCAUUAAAAUUGUUAUAAAUUCUUUUUCAUCAUUUCUGUCUCUCUGCUCUGCCAAUGAUUAGAGCUUGGAAUUAGUCUUUUUGUUGUUGGUGAUUAUCCCCUGAAAAACUGUAUAAUCUUACUCCAACUGUAUCAUUUGCUGUGGAAAAAAAAUUUUUAAUGUUUACUUAUUUUGAAAAUCUCAUUUGGAAAAUUGACAAACCCCCCAAAUACCAGUUACAUGGACCUACAACCCUAGCACACAUGCCUCAUGAGUGAUAUUUUCCAUUUCUUACCACAUUCAAAAUGAUGUCAGUCAAUAAAUCUGCUGAAUUUUAACGAUUUGAUUUCAAUUUUCAUCUGCCAAAUUAUGUGUAAAUGUUAUUUGGUGUGUAUAGCUGUACUCUGAGUCCAUGUUCGGCCACAACACUAUGAAUCUCCUACAAUUUCUGUAAAUGAAGAAAAUUCCUGUUAGACUGCUCAUACUUCUUCUCGAAUGAGCUUUUGAAGCCUAGAUGUUGUCAUGCCAAAAAGAGAAUCGUGUGUGUGUGUGUGUAUGUGUAACUCAACAGCACACCAACAUUUUCCUCAUCAUGUAGAAUCCAUUAUUGCAGCAUUAAUAAUUAUAUGUUUUCAAAUCUGGAAGCUCAAAUGCUUAGCAUUUCUAUUGAUGUUUAUUUCAGAUUCUUCAUAUUUAUUUUUUUUAAAAUGAGGGGAUGCUACAUCCCCCCAAAACUUUACCUUCUUUCUCAUUUUCCUUUUGAUUUUUCCUUCUCAAAGAGCUGGCAAAGUCUGGAAUCCUUUGAAGUGUAGUAAAACAACCAGCAUCUAGUGCUUAGUUCUUCUACCAUUGGGGAAAAAAAAAAAAUUGUAUCCCUUAUAUUUCCAAAAACUUCCAAUCUAUGUUAUCUUCUGUAAAGGAAAAAUUUCUUACUGAAGGUGGAUGAUUUUCUUUUUUGGGGUACCAGGGAUUGAACUCAGGGGCAUUCAACCACUGAGCCACAUCCCCAGCCCUGUUUUUUAUUUUAUUUAGAGACAGGGUCUCACUGAGUUGCUUAGUGCCUCACUUUUGCUGAGGCUGACUUUGAAUUCGUGAUCCUCCUGCCUCAGCCUCCUGAGCCGCUGGGAUUUACAGGCAUGCAUCUCUGCGCCCAGCUUUGAAGAUAGAUAAUUUUCAACAAAAGCACAUCACUGUUACUUAUUCAAACUACAGGGCCAUGUAUUUGGAUUCUUUGCAUUUUAUAAAUGCCAUUUUUUCUUGAAAUUCAUCAAUUAUGUUUGACUGUGGAGCUAAGAGGUGAGUUAACAUCUUGCUCACAUUUCUGUGAUACAAAUAACUCUGAAACUCGAUUUUCUUUCGGUAUUCCACCUUUCCCCCCACCCUCAAAAUUUGUCCAACAAUCCAAAUAUUUGAUUUUAUUUCUUCUCUAGACAGUUUUUUCAUUUUCUGGUUUGGGUUCAAUUUUUUUUCUUUUCAGUAUCUUGGGAGACAUGACAUAUUAGUUUACUGAAUAUUAAGUAAGUAUUAUUAAAAUGUAUAAGUAACUUAUUUUGGAAUUUAUAAUUUUAAAAAUAAUGGAUGAUAAGCCAUGAAAUUUUAUCAGUGGUCAAUUUUUAUUGCCAAGAAAUUUCCUUUAGCAAUCCUUAAAUAAUAGCUAAGUUGUAAUUAGCAGUUCAUUAUAUAGUACUUUCUAAUUUAUGAGUAUAAAAUGCUUUGCAGAUAUACAAUGGCACAUGAACAUUAAUUACUAUAAAAGUAAGUUAUGCUAUAAUGAAAAUCUUACAGAACUUAAUUUGGAGCUCAGAGCCACCAUUCAAGUGGACAAUAUGAAUUAUAAUGCAAAACUUCAAAUUUAAUCAAUACAUAAUUACUAGUAGGUUUUUUUGUAACCCUUAAAUGAAAAUCAAAACAACAGUUAGAAAGCAACUCCUUGGUUGGAAGCACUAAUUAUUUUAGCACUAUUUAUUUAAACCAACAAGGUCUGGUUCAACUCAUUCUGCUUCAACUUACAAAGCAAGAAAAUGUCAACCACUUUAGAAAAAGUCUAUUUGCUUCUGUCAGAAAACUGUCAUAAUAAAUGGAUUUUGUUAAUAAGGCAUUAUAUUGUCAUUUACCAGAAAAUCAUUGUAAUAAAAAUAUAAAUCAUCUACCUUUGUAGUCACCAGUUAAACAAAAAUGGAAACAAAAUUCAAGAUAAUGAUGUCUACAAUGUAAAUAGUCCCCUUAGAUGUUGUGCUCUUGAGCAAUAAACAACCUGAACAACCAUCCAUAGCUGUUCUAUGCCCGUGUGCCACCACAGUCAAUACAGUGCUUCCACAUACGCAGGAACAGGGAAUAGACCAUAGUCUCUGGGAUGGUGAGGUCUGUGUUGGGAUGCUGCUCUUGCUGUUUGCUGACUGUGACCCUGAGCAACUCUCCUAAGACUCAGACACCUCAGCUACAAAUGGGGAUAAAUACUCCAAAUCCUUCUAACUGCUACCUGGAGGUCACAUGAGAUACCCCCAGUUGAGUAGCAAAUGAGAUCAUGAGAUGGGCAUAAGGAUUGACAUUUGUUAAAAAUGUGCUUGCUUUCUGGAAAACAAACAAACAAAAACUAUUAUGUUUUUAAAUCAAAUCAAAACAUGCACAGAGCCAGUGAAGGAUGGUAAUUCCUGGUCUCUGUUAAAUCACCUGAAGACAGCUGCUGGCUUCAGAUGGCCCCUGGUGGACCUUUGAAGGAGCCCACGAGGCUGACACUUGCAUUUUCUUAGGAAGCCAAACGUUAAGGCAAUAGUUUGCUGUUUGCGAAUAAGCUACUAUGCCACCUGAAAAUCUCCAAGUGAUCUUUAAAGCAACCCCUACCAACAAAUGGCUCCGUAAGCAACUUCAAGAGGAUGUGGGGUUUCUAUUUUGAGAAAUGAAAAAUUGCAAUAACAACCAGAAAGACCUUUAAAGUCCCAGAAAUGAUAAGAGUGUUUACUUCAGAGGAACCCAGAGGAAAUGAGCGGGCAUUCACCUUCUCCUCUGCCCCUGCGGGCUCCGCUUGAUCACAGUUGUGCAUCUGUGGCCAACCCGGGGACACCAGAAGGGAGUCUCCCAUCUUUCAUUCAUUCAUCAAGCAUUUAUUGAGGGGCUACUGUGUCCCAGGCACUGGCCUAGAUGCCGGGGAGAAAAGUCAAAUCGGACAUGGUCUCAGUCCACAAGGUUUUGAAGUCGAGUUGGUGAACCACCUUUGGCACACUCUGUCUUCCCAGGUUCUGUCCCUCCUUCUCUUUUCAUCCUGGGUGACAACCUUCCCUUCACCCCCAGGUGCCAGAGCUCCAUCUCUUACUAAUGAUUUCAGAUGUGCACUGAAGGGGAAAUGACAGCUUGUUCCAUUUACCGUGCCUUUGCCCUUCUUCUGGCUGGCACCCUCUCACCUGGAAUGCCCAUAGCUUGGGCACAAGUGCCACGUCUCCCAUGCAGCCUUCUCAUCACCCAGGUGAGAAACGACGUGCCCUUCCUCUCCGAUCCCAUAGCCUUUCUUUGCACAUCUUCUCAGCACUGGCUGCCCACCUACCUUCUGUUACAUCUGCUGGGGUCGGACGGAGAUCUUCUCUGCGGGACCAGGGUGGGUGUGGGCAUGGGAUGGGCACUUGGAAUCCCAUGCCCCGACUCAGUUUGUCUCACCCGUGUACCCUGUCUCACGCUCCUGGGAACACACCAUAUACAAAAACAAGUGUGGCUGGGUUGGAUUUCUCUUCUUUGAUUUUAGAAUUAGAAUUAGAUUGAGCAAUCUCCUUAAUUGGUGGCCCUCUGCCGUCCUGGGAGCCUGCACAGUUCUUAUGUUCUAUUUCCUUAAUGUUUUUUAGUUUUCUUGGUUCUUUAGACCCAUCUCACGCCUGUCAUGGACACCAGCUCAUAUUAUUUUUCUAUUUGUCUUCCACAAUGUUUUUCACACACACACGGAAGCUUGAGAGGUGCCUGGUAUUGUUGGAACUGAGUUUGCCUUUUGGCUAAAGGGAAAAACAACAACAACAACAAAAAAAAAAACCCAAAACAACAACAACAACAAAAAAGCCACUUUCAUUAAAAUUUUAGGCACCAGUAGCUAUUAAGGAGGGAUUCUGGGAAGGUGGCACUUGCAGUCACAGCAGGAGGGGUUUAGCAGCUUGGUCUGGCGAACAACUUCUCUUUCUUCUCCAGGAUCUCCCAGCUCAGGGUUAUGCUCUCCCCACACUUGGGCUCUGUCCCCUUGGCAGAGCCUGUCUACACAGGCUGUGACCCUGAAGAGUUCUCACUUCCAAGAGAUGACUGUCCUCUUUGACACACACUGCUGAGGACACCAUUUCUGUUUCUCCUGUGUCUCUUAGCUGUCACCCUCAAAGGACCUCUCUCUUGGCAAAAUGCUCCCCUCUUUCCCAAUGGUGAAGAAAUGUCUUAAGCAGGUGCGAUGGUGCACACCCGUAAUCCCAGCAACUCUGGAGGCUGAGACAGGAGGAUCAUGAGUUUAAAGCCAGCCUCAGCAAAAGCAAGGUGCUAAGCAACUCAGCGAGACCCUGUCUCUAAAUAAAAUAUAAAAAAGGGCUGGGAAUGUGGCUCAAUGGUUAAGCACCCCUGCUUCAAUCCCUGGUACAAAAAAAGAAAUGUCUUGGGUCUUUAGGCCAGCAGUUCUCAAACUCUUGGUCUCUGGACCUCUAUACACUCUUAAAAAUUAUUAGGGAAUCCAAAGAGCUAUGUUUUAUGUGUUCAUAUCUACAUAGUCUAUACAUAUUAGAAUUUAAAACAAAGAAAAACUUAAAGUAUUUACUUAAUCCAUCUAAAAAUAGUUCUAAAAUAUUACAUCCUAACAUAUUUUUGAAGAAUAACUGUAUUUUCUAAAACAUGACAGCUUUGGAGAGGAGAAGAGCCACGUUUGAUGUGUUUGAAAAUCUUAUUAUCAAUACCCAUCUUGAUUAAAGAGAGCUGAGACCUGCCUUUGCAUUCUGUCUCUUCCCAUGCCACAUGUCGGGGAGCCUUUGGAGAAUUUCACUGCAUAUUAGAGAGAAGGACAAGAGUGAAAACGGCAGCUGGCCUCACGGUGCUCUUGUGGAAAUGGUUUUGACCUAACCAACCCUCUGCAAGGGUCUCUUGUUCUCCAGACCACACUUUGAGAACUGCCCCUGAGAACCAGUUUUGUAAUGGUGAGGCCAUUCCCUGUUCAUCCUUCCGACCUGGGAUUUAGACAGGCUAGAGCUGGGACUCAGUGAUCUUGCUUGGAGUAUUUGGAAGCAUCUGUGUCCUUGAAGAUUUAUGCCACCUGCAGCAGCAUCCGGAGAGAGUCGAGGAUGCUCUGUUGCUGAAGGCGUUGGAUUCCCCACAGAGGGAGGCCUUCAGAGGAGCUGGCAGUUCAGUUCAAUGUCUUCACUGAUCUCAAAUCUUAAUUUUUUGAAUUUUAUCAAUAGCCAGAGGCCAUUCAGAGUGAAAUCUAGUUGAUACGUAUAUCAAAUUGGGUAACACUGCAUUUUGGAUUUUUUUUUUAAGUAAAACUGACUUCUUAAAGGACUGCAAAUCUACUUUCAUGACCAUUCCCCUAAUUCCACUCAUAUAUUCACAUGGGUGGACAAUGUUUCUUUUAGUAAUAGCACCGUUAUUGGAAGAAUAAAAAUUGGAAACAAUCUCAAUGUUUCACUACAAGGAAACCAGUUGCAUAAACGGUGGGCAUCCAUAGAUAGCCCACUGUGAAGCCAAAAAGCAGAACAAGAAGGUUCUGUGUGCAUGUUGAUAAUAAAUUAGCUAAAUAUGUUAAAUGAAAUAGUAAAACAGAAGAAAUGUAUAUGAUAUGCUAUCAUCUAUAUAAAAAAAACAUAGUGUGUGUGUAUGUGUGUGUGUGUGUAUGUGUGUGUGUGUGUAUGUGUGUGUGUGUGUGUGUCUAUGUCUUCGCUCCUGUGUGAAUAAAUGAACUGGCCAUGCUGGUUGCCUCCAGGACUGGGAACUAGCUAACUGGGGUCAAGGGCAAAAGAACAGCUUUUUCAGGAGUCUCUUCUGUCUUUGAAUGUUGCCUGAUGAAACAAAAAUUGUAAACACCUCCCCUAAACUGAAAAUUAAAUGAAAAUAAUUUUUAAGAAAAUUAAAAAUAGGGCUGGGGAUGUGGCUCAAGCGGUAGCGUGCUCGCCUGGCAUGCGUGCGGCCCGGGUUCGAUCCUCAGCACCACAUACAAACAAAGAUGUUGUGUCUGCAGAGAACUAAAAAAUAAAUAUUAAAAAAAUAUUCUCUCUCUCUCUUUAAAAAAAAAAGAAAAUUAAAAAUAAUUUUCAGAGAAUUAAAAAAGAACAACAAUUUCUAACACUUAGAAAAGCUGUUCUCUGGAGAGAGUUCUUAUUCCCUGGGCCGCAGCAUGGCCGAGGGAGGGACAGGGCAUACCACACAGCAGGUGGAGGGGGACUGCCGAACAAUGAGAUGCAGCUGUGGAAAGAACUAGCCAUUUCUUAGCCUUGCCUUCUUCCUCCUCUCAGCCUUGCCUUGUUUCACAAAUAAGGAAAACAGAGUCCAAGCUGUUAAGUGACUCAUCCUGGGCUCCGGGGCUCUUGUUCCAGCCCUUGCCCUCUUUGAGGGGGGGAUUUUCCAAUUGCUCCUGCAGAUCCCUCCUCAGAGAUACAGAAGGUGCUAUAUCCUCUUUCCUUUGGUCUUACAUAUAUCUCUUCUCGCUUCUCAACCUAAGCAGGGGCUGGAGGACCAAGCAGGGAGAGUACCGGUGACAGUGGCUGUAGGACAUUUGAACCUCAGCCACCCACACCUGGGCAGGGCGCCCUCCUCCAGGCUCCCCUGGCAUUUCGUAGACAUAUCUCCCCUUUUUCUGAAAUCCCCAUUGCCCAGUGCAGCUUCUUUUUUUUAUCUUGUUUUUAGUUGUAGAUGGACACAAUACCUUUGUUUCGUUUUGUUUAUUUUUAUGUGGUGCUGAGGAUCGAACCCAGGACCUCAUGCAUGCGAGGCAAGCGCUCUACCACUGAGCCACAACCCCAGCCCUAGUUCAGCUUCUUUAUCAUAGAACUUGAUGGGUUCUGAUGACGUUGUGUCGUUUCCAAUCGACUUCCCCUCCAAAGAAUACAGAUUUGCCAUCCGCUGAGAGAUCUAGAAGUCUGGGGUACAGGCUUUCCAAGAUCCAGCAGAGGCUGGAUGACCCUGGUCAGGUGGCCAUCAAGUCAUCCUUGGUGAUCACUCAUUUAUUCAUUCAACAAAUAUGAACCCAACCUAUUCACCACCAGAGGCAUGUUUCUAGCCACUGGGGAUGUUGUAAGGCCCAAACCAAUAAGGCUUUCAUUCCUGUGGAGCUUACAUUCUUUGCCAGGGAGAAAGACAGUAAUCAAGUCAACAGACAAAAGGACUGAGGUAGCUCAGACACCAUUGAUAAGAGGGUGAUGUAACCGACAGGAUGCAGAGCCAACUCUGACCAUGUGCUUGCUCAUUAAGAGAGAGAAGCCAUCUCCAAGCCCUCACCUCCGGUCCAAAGGUGAGAGUCAAACAUUCUCCCCACUCACCAGGUUGCCAUGGAGGAAUGAAAGACAUGGAGAAGAGGUGCCAGCUCUCUGGGGUCCCGUGUCUGCCAGCUGUUGCUAAAUACCUCGAAGAACUUCUGCUUCCAGAGCCAUCUGUCCCAGGAACCUCAGAACCUGGGACAAGAACUCACUGAAGGGUCGGUCCCCUGGGGGAGAUGAAUUGGACCAACUCUAGGUUCCAGGACUCCAGAACCAGCAACACCUCCCUAUACAAGCCCACCCUGUUGCUCAGCUCAGGUAAAACUAGCCCAAGGCAAGAUGGUUGUUACUGACUGUUCAAUAAUAGGCUGAUCAUUUAGUUCUUAAACAACUUUAUGUGGUAGGUAUUCGUAUUAUGUCCAUUUCACAGAUGAAGAAACUGAGGCCCAGAGAGGUUAAGUGACUGUCUUUAAACCACACAGUUAGACGUUCUUGAGACCCAGGGCACUGGAGUCAACAUCAGUCUCCUUCCUGACCUCCUCCUUCAUGCUUGUUUCUCUUUACCCACCUUCCUUUGCCUUUCUAGAAUGGCUGUUGGCCUCUCUGCCCUGGAUGGGCAUCUUCAUGCUGUCUCUUCUCUUCAUGGUAAACAGAUGUAUCCAGCUCAGACAAUUGCCCUCAACUGUGACCCAAGUUCCCUUCUCCUCGCUCUGGCAUCGUGUGUGUCUGUCAUCCCAUUCCAUUCUCCCUCCACUGUGUCCUGUGACUUGUCUGAUCUUGGGUGAUUCGCCCCUUAUGACUGCCACUAGGAAGAUCUGGUCCCCAGGCCCCCUCUGUACCCUCCACCUGGGAGAUGGGCAGGAACUGCUGCAGGGAACUGGGAAGGCCAAUGUGUCAGGGUGAAGGGCAGAGAGAAAAGGAGAUGCUGAGGUGUCCAGUGUGGUUCCCUCUGUCCUAGGGACCCCGAGAAGCUGUCAUUCUUGGAGUUUGUGACUGCAGAUUAGAUUGCCCUAAAUCCAAUAUGUCCCCUCCACCUUGGUAACUGUCUCUGCACCAGUGUCUGAGUAGCCAGAGGGUGCUCCCUGCUGUGAGAGCUGGAUCUCACAGCUCCACUUUAUAGGGAAAGAAGCCGGGAGGGCCUGAAUGCACAGAUAGAGAGCUUUGGUCUUAGAGUUAAAAAUAUGGGUUCAAGUCCUGGUGGUGGAGCUUCUCUUGGGCAAGUGUCUUUCUCAGAGUUUCUACAGCUGUACAGUCAGAGGUUUUCAAGAUUCCUCCCAACUCUGAGAAUCUAGGGACAGAUCCUGGUUGGGGGAGGGAGGGACUUAGUGUCUCAUUCCUCAGGCAGGGGAAAUUCUUUUACAAUGCAAAUAAUUCUCCCCUUCCUCACCAGAGCAUGGGCCGACUCUCAUGCCCACUACCUCUUCCUGGUCUCUGUCUGACUUGCUGGUGUCCUGAUCCCUUUCAAACCCUUCACACGCCCUUCCCAUAUACCUAUCACCUUCAUCAUCCUGUUUGUUUUUUUUUCCCCUGGACACCCUAACAUAUCUCUGGUUAUCCUAUCCAUUCUUAAAUGGCAGAAGUCAGGGGUGAAAUGAUCACACGGAGGCAGCAGAAGUUCCUGCAUAUGAACAUGAAUUUGCAGUCAGUGAGAGAUGAAUUCAAGUUCAAACUCUGUGGCCUUGUGCAAGGCAGAUGCAUACGAGUUGGUUUCUUUACUGUAAAAAGGGAAUCAUGAUUGGUCCUACCUCAUGUCUGUUAUGAAAAUUAAAUGAGAUAAUGAAUGUGCCUGGCAUAUAUCAAGCCCUGGAUGAAUGGAAGUUAACAUUAUCCUUUUGGAUCCUAUAAAGUGCAUUUGCAUGUGCGGGUAAGGAUCACUCUCAGCUCUCCUUUCCUCUUCCUCUCCUUCCCUUUCUGCAGAGGAUGUCACCACCAUGGGGCCAGAG